Molecule: small nuclear RNA, 103 nt
Filed under: Trifolium pratense (red clover)
Lineage: Eukaryota; Viridiplantae; Streptophyta; Magnoliopsida; Fabales; Fabaceae
Source: RNAcentral
GUCCCUUAGGGGACAUCCGAUAAAAUUGGAACGAUACAGAGAAGAUUAGCAUGGCCCCUGCGCAAGGAUGACACGUACAAAUCGAGAAAAUUCAAUUACUUAU